AUACGGAUGGUGCGAGCGUUGUUCGGAAUUACUGGGCGUAGAGGGCGCGUAGGCGGCGAUGUAAGUCAAAUGUGAAAGUCCUCGGCUUAACCGGGGAAGUGCAUCUGAAACUGCAUUGCUUGAGUAUGGGAGAGGAAAGUGGAAUUCCCGGUGUAGAGGUGAAAUUCGUAGAGAUCGGGAGGAAUACCGGUGGCGAAGGCGACUUUCUGGACCAAUACUGACGCUGAGGCGCGAAAGCGUGGGGAGCAAACAGGAUUAGAAACCCCAGUAGUCC
Molecule: ribosomal RNA, 274 nt
Filed under: uncultured bacterium
Lineage: Bacteria
Description: partial 16S ribosomal RNA
Rfam family: Bacterial small subunit ribosomal RNA
Source: RNAcentral